Molecule: ribosomal RNA, 1304 nt
Filed under: metagenome
Description: bacterial LSU rRNA
Rfam family: Bacterial large subunit ribosomal RNA
Source: RNAcentral
CCUACACGACCGUACCGCAAACCGACACUGGUGCGCGAGAUGAGUAUUCUAAGGCGCUUGAGAGAACUCAGGAGAAGGAACUCGGCAAAUUGACACCGUAACUUCGGAAGAAGGUGUGCCUUUAGUAGGUGAAGUCCCUCGCGGAUGGAGCCCAAUGAGGUUGCAAAAAAUCGGUGGCUGCGACUGUUUAUUAAAAACACAGCACUCUGCAAACACGAAAGUGGACGUAUAGGGUGUGACGCCUGCCCGGUGCUGGAAGAUUAAAUGAUGGGGUGCAAGCUCUUGAUUGAAGUCCCAGUAAACGGCGGCCGUAACAAUAACGGUCCUAAGGUAGCGAAAUUCCUUGUCGGGUAAGUUCCGACCUGCACGAAUGGCGUAACGAUGGCCACACUGUCUCCUCCUGAGACUCAGCGAAGUUGAAAUGUUUGUGAUGAUGCAAUCUCCCCGCGGAAAGACGGAAAGACCCCAUGAACCUUUACUGUAGCUUUGUAUUGGACUUUGAACAGAUCUGUGUAGGAUAGGUGGGAGGCUUUGAAGCAGGGUCGCUAGAUCUUGUGGAGCCAACGUUGAAAUACCACCCUGGUGUGUUUGAGGUUCUAACCUAGGCCCGUAAUCCGGGUUGGGGACAGUGCAUGGUAGGCAGUUUGACUGGGGCGGUCUCCUCCCAAAGUGUAACGGAGGAGUUCGAAGGUACGCUAGUUACGGUCGGACAUCGUGACGAUAGUGCAAUGGCAUAAGCGUGCUUAACUGCGAGACUGACAAGUCGAGCAGAUGCGAAAGCAGGACAUAGUGAUCCGGUGGUUCUGUAUGGAAGGGCCAUCGCUCAACGGAUAAAAGGUACUCUGGGGAUAACAGGCUGAUACCGCCCAAGAGUUCAUAUCGACGGCGGUGUUUGGCACCUCGAUGUCGGCUCAUCUCAUCCUGGGGCUGUAGCCGGUCCCAAGGGUAUGGCUGUUCGCCAUUUAAAGAGGUACGUGAGCUGGGUUUAAAACGUCGUGAGACAGUUUGGUCCCUAUCUUCCGUGGGCGCUGCAGAUUUGAGGAAGCCUGCUCCUAGUACGAGAGGACCGGAGUGGACGCACCUCUGGUGUAUCGGUUGUCACGCCAGUGGCAUUGCCGAGUAGCUAUGUGCGGAAGAGAUAACCGCUGAAAGCAUCUAAGCGGGAAACUCGUUUCAAGAUGAGAUCUGCCGGGGCCUUGAGCCCCCUGAAGAGUCGUUCAAGACCAGGACGUUGAUAGGUCGGGUGUGGAAGCGCAGUAAUGCGUUAAGCUAACCGAUACUAAUUGCUCGUGCGGCUUGACCAA